AGCUAGGAUGUUGGCUUGGAAGCAGCCAUUCAUUUAAAGAGUGCGUAACAGCUCACUAGUCGAGCGGUCCGGCAUGGAUAAUAAUCGGGCAUAAACAUAUUACCGAAGCUAUGGAUUUGUAUUUUCGGAUACAUCUGGUAGGAGAGCAUUCUAUUUGCUUAGAAGCAGUACUGUGAGGUAUUGUGGAGCGUAUAGAAAAGAAAAUGUAGGCAUAAGUAACGAUAAAGCGGGCGAGAAACCCGCUCACCGAAAGAC
This 255-nucleotide ribosomal RNA is filed under the name Chryseobacterium arthrosphaerae. RNAcentral's name for it is "partial 23S ribosomal RNA". It matches the Rfam family "Bacterial large subunit ribosomal RNA", at positions 1091 to 1345 of the family's 2925-position model. The record is from RNAcentral. Lineage: Bacteria; Pseudomonadati; Bacteroidota; Flavobacteriia; Flavobacteriales; Weeksellaceae.